UAGGUAAGGAAUAGCUACGGGAAACUGUAGGUAAUNCCUUAUAAUAUGUGCACCCCUNAAAGAGUUAUCGCCUAGAGAGGAGCCCGUGCCAGAUUNNGUCGUUGGUGGGGUAACAGCCUACCAAGCCUAUGAUCUGUAGUUGGUCUGAGAGGAUGAUCAGCCACACUGGGACUGAGAACGGCCCAGACUCCUACGGGGGGCAGCAGUGGGGAAUAUUGGACAAUGGGGGAAACCCUGAUCCAGCAAUGCCGCGUGAGUGAAGAAGGCCUUUGGGUUGUAAAGCUCUUUCACCUGUGACGAUAAUGACGGUAGCAGGACAAGAAGCCCCGGCUAACUCCGUGCCAGCAGCCGCGGUAAGACGGAGGGGGCAAGCGUUAUUCGGAAUUACUGGGCGUAAAGGGUGCGUAGGCGGUUUUUUAAGCAAGGUGUGAAAGCCCUGGGCUCAACCCAGGAACGGCGCUUUGAACUGAAGAACUAGAGUACGAAAGAGGAAAGAGGAAUUCCUAGUGUAGGGGUGAAAUCCAUAGAUAUUAGGAAGAACACCAAAGGCGAAGGCGACUUUCUGGUUCGUAACUGACGCUGAGGCACGAAAGCGUGGGGAGCAAAUAGGAUUAGAUACCCUAGUAGUCCACGCUGUAAACGAUGAAUGCUAGACGUUGGAGGUUCGUCCUUCAGUGUCGCAGCUAACGCGUGAAGCAUUCCGCCUGGGGAGUACGGUCGCAAGAUUAAAACUCAAAGGAAUUGACGGGGGCCUGCACAAGCGGUGGAGCAUGUGGUUUAAUUCGACGCAACGCGCAAAACCUUACCAGCUUUUGACAUAGGGACAGAAGGCAUCAGAGAUGAAGCCUGCGGUUCGGCCGGGUCCCGUACAGGUGCUGCAUGGCUGUCGUCAGCUCGUGUCGUGAGAUGUUGGGUUAAGUCCCGCAACGAGCGCAACCCUCGUUCUUAGUUGCCAGCAGUUCGGCUGGGGACUCUAAGAAAACUGCCGGUGACAAGCCGGAGGAAGGUGGGGAUGAUGUCAGGUCCUCAUGGCCCUUAUGGGCUGGGCUACACACGUGCUACAAUGGCGAUCACAAUGAGAAGCAAGGGGGUGACCCGGAGCCAAUCUCUAAAAAUCGUCUCAGUUCGGAUUGUUCUCUGCAACUCGAGAGCA
RNAcentral lists this ribosomal RNA (1153 nucleotides) under Hepatobacter penaei (SeqCode). Its description in RNAcentral is "bacterial SSU rRNA". It matches the Rfam family "Bacterial small subunit ribosomal RNA", at positions 133 to 1320 of the family's 1533-position model. The record is from RNAcentral. Lineage: Bacteria; Pseudomonadati; Pseudomonadota; Alphaproteobacteria; Holosporales; Holosporaceae.